This is a non-coding RNA of Acanthosepion pharaonis, 86 nucleotides long. The record is from the annotation of a GenBank genome assembly. Lineage: Eukaryota; Metazoa; Mollusca; Cephalopoda; Sepiida; Sepiidae.
CUGGUUCGCUUACGAUCACCGAAGUUAAGCAACAUCGAGCCUGUUCAGAACCUAGAUGGGUGACCGUUUGGGAAUACCAAGUGCUG